CCUACGGGUGGCAGCAGUGAGGAAUAUUGGUCAAUGGGCGCGAGCCUGAACCAGCCAAGUAGCGUGAAGGAUGAAUGCCCUACGGGUUGUAAACUUCUUUUAUAAAGGAAUAAAGUGAGGCACGUGUGCCUUUUUGUAUGUACUUUAUGAAUAAGGAACGGCUAACUCCGUGCCAGCAGCCGCGGUAAUACGGAGGAUCCGAGCGUUAUCCGGAUUUGUUGGGUUUAAAGGUAGCGUAGAUGGGUUGUUAAGUCAGUUGUGAACGUUUGCGGCUCAACCGUAAAAUUGCAAUUGAUACUGGCAGCCUUGAGUACAGUUGAGGUAGGCGGAAUUCGUGGUGUAGCGGUGAAAUGCUUAGAUAUCACGAAGAACCCCGAUUGCGAAGGCAGCUUACUAAACUGUGACUGACAUUGAUGCUCGAAAGUGUGGGUAUCAAACAGGAUUAGAUACCCUUGUAGUC
Molecule: ribosomal RNA, 460 nt
Filed under: uncultured bacterium
Lineage: Bacteria
Description: partial 16S ribosomal RNA
Rfam family: Bacterial small subunit ribosomal RNA
Source: RNAcentral